GCGAGUUCUGUGCGGUGGACUUAUGCUCCCGCGAGGGGGCGUGUCCUUUCUCGCGUCCGCAGUGUCCCUGAGGGUCCGCGUCUACACGCGGCUGUGAGGAAGGAAGGCGCGUGCCGCGUGGGACGGGCUCCACCUGCCUGCGGACAGAUGGAGGGUCACUUUGUUCCGAGAAGACCCAGACACCCGAGGGAGGAUGUGAAACGGAACGACCCGUUUCGAGUAAUAACAGGAUGGAGAUGGAGUUUCAUGACA
Molecule: long non-coding RNA, 252 nt
Filed under: Homo sapiens (human)
Lineage: Eukaryota; Metazoa; Chordata; Mammalia; Primates; Hominidae
Description: non-protein coding TIPARP-AS1:3
Source: RNAcentral